Molecule: ribosomal RNA, 465 nt
Filed under: uncultured bacterium
Lineage: Bacteria
Description: partial 16S ribosomal RNA
Rfam family: Bacterial small subunit ribosomal RNA
Source: RNAcentral
GACGAACGCUGGCGGCGUGCUUAACACAUGCAAGUCGUACGGUAAGGCCCUUUCGGGGGUACACGAGUGGCGAACGGGUGAGUAACACGUGAGUAACCUGCCCACAACUUUGGGAUAACGCUAGGAAACUGGUGCUAAUACUGGAUAUGUGCUCCUGCUGCAUGGUGGGGGUUGGAAAGCUCCGGCGGUUGUGGAUGGACUCGCGGCCUAUCAGCUUGUUGGUGGGGUAGUGGCCUACCAAGGCGGCGACGGGUAGCCGGCCUGAGAGGGUGACCGGCCACAUUGGGACUGAGAUACGGCCCAGACUCCUACGGGAGGCAGCAGUGGGGAAUAUUGCACAAUGGGCGCAAGCCGGAUGCAGCAACGCCGCGUGCGGGAGGACGGCCUUCGGGUUGUAAACCGCUUUCAGCAGGGACGAAGCUUUUUGUGACGGUACCUGCAGAAGAAGCACCGGCUAACUACGUG